GGGGUGCAAGCCUGAACCAGCCAUCCCGCGUGAAGGACGACUGCCCUAUGGGUUGUAAACUUCUUUUGUAUAGGGAUAAACCUACCCUCGUGAGGGUAGCUGAAGGUACUAUACGAAUAAGCACCGGCUAACUCCGUGCCAGCAGCCGCGGUAAUACGGAGGGUGCAAGCGUUACUCGGAAUCACUGGGCGUAAAGAGCACGUAGGCGGCCUUGCAAGUCAGAUGUGAAAUCCAACGGCUUAACCGUUGAACUGCAUUUGAAACUGCAAGGCUCGAGUAUGGGAGAGGUAGGUGGAAUUCUCGGGGUAGGGGUAAAAUCCGUAGAGAUCGAGAGGAAUACUCAUUGCGAAGGCGACCUGCUGGAACAUUACUGACGCUGAGGUGCGAAAGCGUGGGGAGCAAACA
This 405-nucleotide ribosomal RNA is filed under the name uncultured Wolinella sp. RNAcentral's name for it is "bacterial SSU rRNA". It matches the Rfam family "Bacterial small subunit ribosomal RNA", at positions 372 to 774 of the family's 1533-position model. Lineage: Bacteria; Pseudomonadati; Campylobacterota; Epsilonproteobacteria; Campylobacterales; Helicobacteraceae. The record is from RNAcentral.